This 164-nucleotide ribosomal RNA is filed under the name uncultured bacterium. Its description in RNAcentral is "partial 16S rRNA". It matches the Rfam family "Bacterial small subunit ribosomal RNA", at positions 355 to 511 of the family's 1533-position model. The record is from RNAcentral.
UAGGGAAUCUUCCACAAUGGGCGCAAGCCUGAUGGAGCAACACCGCGUGAGUGAAGAAGGGCUUCGGCUCGUAAAGCUCUGUUGUUGGAGAAGAACGUGCGUGAGAGUAACUGUUCACGCAGUGACGGUAUCCAACCAGAAAGUCACGGCUAACUACGUGCCAG